CGUUGAUCUUACUUGUAAAGACAAACCCAGAACCCUUGGAUCAAAAAGUAGACGACAGGACCGGCGCCUUUUAUUCCCGGCCUUCGAAUCCGUCUUGACAGAAAAGACCCUGAGCCGUUGGAUUAAAAAAAAGAAAGGAUAGAUAUUCUGAAUAGGAUCUCAACCAUCCAUUUUGAUUCCCUUCAAUUCUCAGACAUCGGAUUAUGUCCUUUUAAAUCCAAACCUUCCAUCUCCCCAGAAGAGAUCCUGACCUUCAUUAGGAACACCCGUUCCCUAUAAAUACCUGCAUGCAAUACUGUAGAGGGACGGACAAAAAAAGGGUGGUGGUGAUUAUAGUGGAAAGGCUCUGAAAUUUAAUUCAGUAUUGUUGCUUUGCCAUUCUAAGCUUGCAUAAAAAUUGAGAAAUUUCAGAAACUAGUUUUCUCGAGUAUCUCAAUUGAUAGAGUUUUUGAACCCUGAAAUCCUUCAUUUUCAGUUUGUUCGUCACUCUACCACACCAUUUCUGUUCAGUCUCGUCUUCAUCACCCCAACAUCAACACAUUAUUCUUUCAGCUUGAUCUCAUUCUGACCCAGUUUCUGUCGCUUCGAUUCAACUGCAUUUUAACCUGGUUUUUGCAAUCUCGAAGUAAGCAUUGGUCCUUGUAUCACCAGCUUUCAACUCUACAAUACUUGUGAUCUCCAGAGUCAGUUUGAUAGCCUCGACCUCACACAGGUAAGUGCCUAGACUGUCAUUUUGCCGAACGCUCACGUUUUACUUUCUUUGCUUUUAUUCUCGAAAUUUUCAUUAAAUCCAAUCAUACUAAAGAUCCCACGUAGAUCCCUCAGGCCGAUAUUUAUUCUCUUGAGUCUACUUUUCCCUUUAUAAGUUCACGUUAUUUAUUUGUUCUUAGUUUUUAUUUCCUUCGAAUAUAGUUGUUUUGGUUGCGGGUAACUUAUAGGUAAUUUAGUAGCAAUAUCCUCACGUGAUAGUUUCUUUUGAAUAAGUAAAAAUAAUCAAAGAAUGAAUAGGGAAUCAGGAGAAAAGUCAUGAGGUCGGGCUACUAAGCGAGUCUAGAAAAUAGCAUAAUAGAGCGGGAAUCGAGAUAAGAACCCAGACUAGUAACCGAGAGAGAUCGGAUGUAGCCAGCCAAAGAGUUCGGACAAGGUAGUCACAUACGAGAUCGGUGAAAAGUUCGGUCUUACGUCACGAACACCAGUGUUAUUAAAGGCGUGGGAGGCGCCCAGGCGAGGCGAGAGGCGAGGGGAGGCGCCCAUCUGCCGCCUAGACUGGGUCGCCCCUCUUGGCACCUCCAGAGUCGACGCCUCAUGCCGGCGAGGCGAGAAACCAAGCGGGCGAGAGGCGUCGCCUCUUUAAAACAGAGCAGAAUCUCUUUUUUUAAAAAAAAUUUUUUAAGACAAAAA
This 1401-nucleotide unclassified non-coding RNA is filed under the name Hevea brasiliensis (rubber tree). The record is from RNAcentral. Lineage: Eukaryota; Viridiplantae; Streptophyta; Magnoliopsida; Malpighiales; Euphorbiaceae.